GGGGCUGUAAUGGUUUCGACGUGUUGGCGAAAGCUGCCCCGUGAUGCAGGUCGAGAGUGAGUCUCCUCUCGCAAAUCAAGGCUCAAAAAAAACGUAACUGCGAACAACAUCGUAGCAUUUUCUCGUAAGGCAGCAGCCGUUGCCUAAAAAUCCUUAAACUUUAAGGUACGAGAGUUCCUGAUUUGACUCCGUUAAGGAUCUAGGGACAAACCCCCAACGGAUGCAUUAGUUAGUUGUCUCUGGUAGACUAACUGGUAAAGACUUCAUCAGAGAAUCCACGUCAUCUGGAACAAUCGAUGGUUCCCGCUCUGAGGACUAGAAGAGCUAAACCUGUGAAGGAACGGUAAGUCAAUACCCAGUGCGGACGGUGAGUUCGAUUCUCCCCAGCUCCAUAA
Molecule: transfer-messenger RNA, 395 nt
Filed under: Merismopedia glauca
Lineage: Bacteria; Bacillati; Cyanobacteriota; Cyanophyceae; Synechococcales; Merismopediaceae
Also listed under: 1 other name
Description: Standard tmRNA
Rfam family: transfer-messenger RNA
About the family: Bacterial tmRNA, also known as 10Sa RNA or SsrA, is named for its dual tRNA and mRNA-like properties. Its role is to liberate the mRNA from a stalled ribosome.
Source: RNAcentral